GAUGAACGCUGGCGGCGUGCCUAAUACAUGCAAGUCGAGCGAACAGACGAGGAGCUUGCUCCUCUGACGUUAGCGGCGGACGGGUGAGUAAUACGUGGAUAACCUACCUAUAAGACUGGGAUAACUUCGGGAAACCGGAGCUAAUACCGGAUAAUAUAUUGCACCGCAUGGUUCUAUAGUGAAAGACGGUUUUGCUGUCUCUUAUAGCUGGCUCCUCGUCGCAUUAGCUAGUUGGUAAGGUAACGGCUUACCAAGGCCACGAUGCGUAGCCGACCUGAGAGGGUGAUCGGCCACACGGGAACUGAGACACGGUCCAUACUCCUACGGGAGGCAGCAGUAGGGAAUCUUCCGCAAUGGGCGAAAGCCUUACGGAGCAACGCCGCGUGAGUGAUGAAGGUCUUCGGAUCGUAAAACUCUGUUAUUAGUGAAGAACAAAUGUGUAAGUAACUAUGCACGUCUUGACGGUACCUAAUCAGAAAGCCACGGCUAACUACGUG
RNAcentral lists this ribosomal RNA (497 nucleotides) under uncultured bacterium. RNAcentral's name for it is "partial 16S ribosomal RNA". It matches the Rfam family "Bacterial small subunit ribosomal RNA", at positions 28 to 507 of the family's 1533-position model. The record is from RNAcentral.